GACUUUCACUUCCUUGGCCAAGGGUUUUUUCUGAUCUGGAGCAUUCUGUAUGUAGGAUGGUACAUCGGCAGGUUGCCACAAUUGCUUGGUUGGAAGCUGAUUCUGUGUGUGGCAGUCACUAUGUU
Arachis ipaensis is the source of this 125-nucleotide non-coding RNA. The record is from RefSeq and is a predicted model, not a curated record. NCBI's taxonomy places the organism in Eukaryota, Viridiplantae, Streptophyta, Magnoliopsida, Fabales, Fabaceae.